This 741-nucleotide small RNA is filed under the name Pongo abelii (Sumatran orangutan). RNAcentral describes it as "processed transcript". The record is from RNAcentral. Lineage: Eukaryota; Metazoa; Chordata; Mammalia; Primates; Hominidae.
GGCAUCCUCGCGAUAUCUUAAGCUGCGACUCAGAAAACAAAUCCUUCUCCUGGCAUCAUCCACAGACAGCUGUUCACACCCCACAUCCUCCUCGCUUUCUGGAGUCUCUCAGCCUUAGGCUGGAAGCAAGGAUGGGCGCCAUUCCUGAGGAAGAGAACCGCUGGACAUGGGUUCUCUGAGGAUGGGGAGCAUGGAGGUGAUGUGCUGUGACACGAGUGGUGGAAUGCUUCACUGGAGAAGGGGAUGUGUCCUGUGCUGUCCCUGUGCUCGCCACCCACACUCCCCUCCCAGAGGAGGCACGAUGCCCAGCCUGCAAACUCACCCCAGUCACCCAGCCAGCGGAGAAUGUCAUACAGGUGCUUCUCCUUCGUCUUAGCAUCUUUGGAGAAGGAGGCAAUUUUUUCCAGCAAGAUGAAUCUCUUCUUGCCCUUUGGAUCUGUCUGCUGAGAUUUGGCAUUUUCUUUUAAAUCAUAUCCUAAUUCUUCCUGGAAGCGGUUGAUGACACAAUUGACAUUGUCCAAAAUGUCUGAGAGCUGGGUAGAAAUAUCCUAUAGAGAAGCAGCAGAUUGUAGUGUUAGGGCUGUGUACUUGAGCCAGAAGCCACAUGCUAGCAGCGUGACCUUGGACAAGUCGCUUAGCCUCUUUGGGUUUCAGUUUUCUUAUAUUUAAAGUGGGAAUCAUUAUAGUACCUAUGUCACAGGGUUUCUAUAAGGAUUAAAUGAACUAAAUAUUUUAAAGUGC